RNAcentral lists this ribosomal RNA (808 nucleotides) under uncultured bacterium. Its description in RNAcentral is "bacterial SSU rRNA". It matches the Rfam family "Bacterial small subunit ribosomal RNA", at positions 8 to 796 of the family's 1533-position model. The record is from RNAcentral.
AGAGUUUGAUCAUGGCUCAGAACGAACGUUAGCGGCGCGCUUAACGCAUGCAAGUCGCACGAGAAAGGGCUUCGGCCCCGGUAAAGUGGCGCACGGGUGAGUAACACGUGGGUAAUCUUCCCUCGGGCGGGGGAUAACAUUCCGAAAGGAGUGCUAAUACCGCAUAAGACCACGGACUCGAAAGAGUCUGAGGUCAAAGCCGGCCUCUAUACAUAAGCUGGCACCUGAGGAUGAGCCCGCGGCCCAUCAGCUAGUUGGCAGGGUAAUGGCCUACCAAGGCAAAGACGGGUAGCUGGUCUGAGAGGAUGAUCAGCCACACUGGAACUGAGACACGGUCCAGACUCCUACGGGAGGCAGCAGUGGGGAAUCUUGCGCAAUGGGCGAAAGCCUGACGCAGCGACGCCGCGUGAGUGAUGAAGGCCUUCGGGUUGUAAAGCUCUGUGGAGAGGGACGAAUAAGUGCGGACUAAUACCCCGCAUGAUGACGGUACCUCCUUAGCAAGCACCGGCUAACUCUGUGCCAGCAGCCGCGGUAAGACAGAGGGUGCAAACGUUGUUCGGAAUUACUGGGCGUAAAGCGUGUGUAGGCGGCCAUGUAAGUCGGAUGUGAAAGCCCCGGGCUUAACCCGGGAAGUGCAUUCGAUACUGUGUGGCUUGAGUAUCGGAGAGGUUGGUGGAAUUCUCGGUGUAGAGGUGAAAUUCGUAGAUAUCGAGAGGAACACCGGUGGCGAAGGCGGCCAACUGGACGAAUACUGACGCUGAGACACGAAAGCGUGGGGAGCAAACAGGAUUAGAUACCCUAGUAGUCC